This 45-nucleotide non-coding RNA is filed under the name Schistosoma margrebowiei. Lineage: Eukaryota; Metazoa; Platyhelminthes; Trematoda; Strigeidida; Schistosomatidae. The record is from RNAcentral.
AUCCAACUGACAAGUCCCAAAUAGGACAAAACUUACGUUUUGGAU